UUACACUCCACCUGGCCUAACUUGCGCAGGCCGCGCCCAUGGACUGUCCCGCACCUUGCGCUUCCGCAUCCCACUCAGUCCCGCGCCAGCCCUGGCCUCGCCCGCGCAGUGGAUGCCGGUCUUGUACACGGAGUUGCCAUUUUGCCGCUAGAGAAGCCCUCUGGAGACCUGAACGCUCUUUCUUCAGUGGCCUAGCCUGCGGCGGCGCCGGGACUGGGUCUGGGCCAGGGGUCGGCACAGCCAGGACUUGGCGCGCGGCCCGGAGUCGCUGGUCUCCACCAGGCGCUGCAGGGAGCCCAGCCCCGGAGUGGGACCUGCGGGAAGCAGCUCAGGUCUCACAUGGCCUCUGCUGUCACUGAGCCUGGCUGUGCUGAGGGGGGGACAUUUACCCCCCAAAUGAGGAUUUCAUUCCACUCCGAGCUCCUCCCUGCAGACUGAGAGAGGACCAAGAUAUUAGAGUAAGAUAGCAGUUAUUAUUCUA
This 481-nucleotide long non-coding RNA is filed under the name Cavia porcellus (domestic guinea pig). RNAcentral's name for it is "lncRNA (ENSCPOG00000031003.1)". The record is from RNAcentral. Lineage: Eukaryota; Metazoa; Chordata; Mammalia; Rodentia; Caviidae.